GAUGAACGCUGGCGGCGUGCCUAAUACAUGCAAGUCGAGCGAACAGACGAGGAGCUUGCUCCUCUGACGUUAGCGGCGGACGGGUGAGUAACACGUGGAUAACCUACCUAUAAGACUGGGAUAACUUCGGGAAACCGGAGCUAAUACCGGAUAAUAUAUUGAACCGCAUGGUUCAAUAGUGAAAGACGGUUUUGCUGUCACUUAUAGAUGGAUCCGCGCCGCAUUAGCUAGUUGGUAAGGUAACGGCUUACCAAGGCAACGAUGCGUAGCCGACCUGAAAGGGGGAUCGGCCACACUGGAACUGAGACACGGUCCAGACUCCUACGGGAGGCAGCAGUAGGGAAUCUUCCGCAAUGGGCGAAGGCCUGACGGAGCAACGCCGCGUGAGUGAUGAAGGUCUUCGGAUCGUAAAACUCUGUUAUUAGGGAAGAACAAAUGUGUAAGUAACUAUGCACGUCUUGACGGUACCUAAUCAGAAAGCCACGGCUAACUACGU
RNAcentral lists this ribosomal RNA (496 nucleotides) under uncultured bacterium. RNAcentral describes it as "partial 16S ribosomal RNA". It matches the Rfam family "Bacterial small subunit ribosomal RNA", at positions 28 to 506 of the family's 1533-position model. The record is from RNAcentral.